AGGGUUUGAUUAUGGCUCAGGAUGAACGCUGGCGGCAUGCCUAAUACAUGCAAGUCGAACGGACCGAAGGGAAAGCUUGCUUUUCCUGAAGUCAGUGGCGAACGGGUGAGUAACACGUAGGUAACCUGCCCAUGUGCCCGGGACAACGCCUGGAAACGGGUGCUAAAACCGGAUAGGUAGAGAGAUCGCAUGAACUUUCUAUUAAAGGGGCUACGGCCCUGAACAUGGAUGGACCUGCGGUGCAUUAGCUAGUUGGUGAGGUAACGGCCCACCAAGGCGACGAUGCAUAGCCGACCUGAGAGGGCGAACGGCCACAUUGGGACUGAGACACGGCCCAA
This 338-nucleotide ribosomal RNA is filed under the name uncultured bacterium. Its description in RNAcentral is "bacterial SSU rRNA". It matches the Rfam family "Bacterial small subunit ribosomal RNA", at positions 8 to 334 of the family's 1533-position model. The record is from RNAcentral.